RNAcentral lists this transfer RNA (73 nucleotides) under Phaeoacremonium minimum UCRPA7. RNAcentral's name for it is "tRNA-His (GTG) (tRNA-His-GTG-3-1)". It matches the Rfam family "tRNA". From Rfam's summary of the family: Transfer RNA (tRNA) molecules are approximately 80 nucleotides in length. Their secondary structure includes four short double-helical elements and three loops (D, anti-codon, and T loops). Lineage: Eukaryota; Fungi; Ascomycota; Sordariomycetes; Togniniales; Togniniaceae. The record is from RNAcentral.
GCCUCCGUAGCUCAAUCGGUAGAGCGUUUGACUGUGAAUCAAAAGGUUGCGGGUUCGACCCCCGCCGGGGGCU